ACUCUCGACUUAUUACCUGAAUAUGCGUCUGUUGAAUGAAGACUUGCGAGAUGUCCGUGGGUUUAUAUAGGCCGAGCUAGUAGCUAGCAAUAUGUGUGUGGGGAUAUCUGCGCUUCUUUUGUUGGCCGAUUCGAAGAUUGUUGAUGCGGUUAAUUUUGUACUACCACUUUAUAAAGAGU
Long non-coding RNA from Frieseomelitta varia, 179 nucleotides. RefSeq lists it as uncharacterized. NCBI's taxonomy places the organism in Eukaryota, Metazoa, Arthropoda, Insecta, Hymenoptera, Apidae. The record is from RefSeq and is a predicted model, not a curated record. The transcript is spliced from 3 exons.